CGUUACCUAAGCUCUCCAAAGUCUCCUGGGUAUGUCAAAUAGAAUUAGGAGGGUGGCUUCAUUAGCUGAGUGGGAAAUGCAGGCGUGUGCUUGUGAAAACACUGCGCUGGUUUACCAAUGCCACUAGCACACUGGCAUAGCGUUCAUGACGCAGCUUUUCUUGCCUGGAGAUGCUCAGUAAUGUGAACUCCAGCUGUGGCAGACCAGUUUAUAAACUUUACUGUGCUGUUUGGUUGUGAGGAGGUUUACCACACAGCGCAUUCAGUGAUUCAUAUCUCUCCUCACAACUUUUACAUCCUGUUCAGUGUUUCAGUCGAUGACGUUAAAAGUCGAUGAAAUCAAAGACUUUGUAAACAAGGACUGAUUAGCUGCAAUGAGUUUACAGCUCCUUUUAAUUGUGCAUUUUGAGGUGUAAUACAACCUCUAAUGAAGUUUUCAGUAGCUUCAUGUGUGUCUGUUUGGGCAAGUACAAGUCUCUCAGAAGAAAUCAGGAUGUGUUCCAGGGGAUAAUUAUGCUUUUAAGCAUAAUACUUUCUUGUAUCACACUGAGGCAGCCUGAGGGGCUCUUCAGUGACUGUGUGUGUGUGUGUUGAGUCAUCUUAUGGGCUUUGAUAUCUGAUCUGGCAUUUAAAGGUGAUUUUGGCAGACACUUCAUUUUUCACCUGGCCUCCAGACAUCUCUGUUUGAUCUUUCUGUAUCUCUUUUUUAUUUAUUUUUUUAUUUAUUUUUUUGCCUCUGUUUCCUUUUACUUUGUCCAACCAGCCCGUCACAACAACAACUCAUCAACCAAUAGAAUGAGUUUGGUGAUAGAUUUUCUGUUUGUUUGACCAAUGGCAGAUGAGAGUGUUUUGGAAAUUUUUUUUGUCAUUUAAAUGACUGCUCAGCUCGUUGAUUCUGACAGUUUUUCACUUACAAAAAAAUACCAUAGUAGAACCAUGGCAAAUAUCAAAGUUCCUUUGUAAUAUCAUCUGAUAUACCAUGAAACAGUACCACCAUGCUACUUUUUUGUAAGGGUUCCAGCAUUCCUCCACAUCAAUGCCCUUUUUUUAAUGUUCUGAUUUAUGCAAUUGUGUAUUGUUUUGUUUUUGUUGAUUUGUUUUGUUUUGCAUUGUUGCUAUAAAGAAUAAUCCUUCUUUGAAUGAAUGAAUGAAUUAAUGAAUGAAUGUUGUUGUGUUUGCUGUGUCUUGUCUUAUUUUGUUAUGGUUUAUUUUGUUGCCAUCAUAAACUUUCUUUGAAUGAAUGAAUAAUUUAAUGAAUACAUUUUUUUUAUUGUUGCUAUCAUUAAUUAACUUUCUUUGAAUGAAUGAAUGAAUGAAUGAAUGAAUGAAUGAAUGAUGAGAGGGGAGCUUAGAGCUUGGAUCGGGUCUGCUUGAGCUCCUCCAGUUCAUUGUAUACAGAAAGCCACAUCUGAUUACCUUCAUCACUUAUUAGGAUCAUACAGUAUAAACGUGAACUCAUUAGGCUGAAGUUGUUCGGUUAAUUGAUCAGGUGUUUAAUUUCUGUGUUAAAAUAUUGAGCUGAACUGCAUGUUAUUUAUUUGCUCUCUUCCUUUGUGCUGCUUUUUGUACAUUGUAAAUCUUAUUACAAAUGCCAAAUUGAUACUUAAUUUGGCUGCAACCUGAAUCACCAGAACAGUCGCUCAUGUCAGAUGAAAAAUUGAACAGAAGCAGAUGUGAUGUGUGUCGAUAUGAGAUCAGCCUCAGGAAACAGAGCCAAGUGCAGAGGAAAGUAGAGCCAGGAGUGUGCUUAGGUAAGCAGGCAGAGGAGUCAUUCUGUCAGAAUAAAGGGUACGGUCGGUGUCCAUUUGUGAUCACAUAGGGUACAGCUUAUGUGGUUGUACCCUCACUGGGUCAAAGUUACACCUUAAGGCACUAAUAUGUACCCUUUAGGGAUAGAUAAGGUACAAAUACAUUACUGUCCAUCAUACGGUCUAUGUAUGACCAUUUCACCCAAAAGAGGUACAAAAUACUGUGAUCAAAUGAUUUGCCUGGUGGGGGAUGGGGUGGUUCAAGGCUGCCAAAGCCAAACCCUUCAAGUGCAUGAAAUUCACUUCAUUGUCCCAUACGUGAUCUCAACAAUUCAAUAAACAUGCAUAAUAUAUAUAUAUAUAAAUAUAAAUAUUAUAUAAAUAUAUAAAUAUUUAUUUAUUUUAUUUUUUACAUAUAAAACAAAUUCUUUAAAUUAAAUUACAAACAGGUUUAGAAACAAUGCCAUUUUAUCCCAUAUAUAAUAAACAAGCUGUUUCUUUUAAUAAAAUCAUUAAACUUUGGAUCUUUUGAAUGUUUCAUUGAUUCAAAGGAAGAGCGCAAACUUAUGCACUAUUAAUACAAACUUUUUUAAACAAGAAAAACUGAAGAGCUGUAAGUGCAACAAGUAAUUUCACAGUUUAUUCAAAUUUGUCCAAUGGGAUUGACUCACCGCGCGUGCUUUUGUGUGGGAAGUUUGGGAUGUGUGUGGACCGACGCUCGCAACAUGAUGAUGGAUCUCUGACUGUCGACGGAGGAUCUUCUCCUCAGGUUAAAAGAUCCUGCAAGUCACUGAAGCAUCACAUAAAUUCAGAGGAACAUUUAAAUCAUACUUGGUACCAAUCUCUUGGAGCGUCUGAUUCUCGAGGAGGAGAGGAGUAAGGAGAAAUUGGGCUCUGUCAUGCAGUCUGAAGAAAUUAAAAAGAGCCUGUCACAGGUCUGUGUCAGGGGAGAUUGCUGUCAUUGAUGAGGAUGCACCUUUGAGGGACAUGCAAAUAUUUUGCAUGUACUGUAUGGCAAGAUGCUACCAGAUACCUUGAUUGUUAAAGACUGGAUGCAGCAAACGGUUUCAUGGCGGAGAGGAGAUUGAAGAUGGAAUGACUGGUGGAUAAAAACUCCAGUUGCUUCAAGGAGGGCUUCACAAUUACUGUGCAUGAGCUUGCAGCAAGAAAAAUCCUUCUGGCCAAAAUAUACAUUGAAGCAAGAGAGGAGAUGCUUGCAAAAGAUCUUCUAGGCAUUUACUUUGGCACUAUUGCGGAUUAUAUGAGUAGUAAAUAUUGUCAAACAAAUGUUUUUGUUUCGUCAGAAUGAUGUAAUACUGUUACUUUUGUCAUAGCAAAUUAAGUAAAGCUUAAGUAAACCAUGCUUGUUGCAUGGUUUUAAUACUGUUCUAACAUUAUAUUUUCCUCUUACAAUGUGAUGCCGAUACACCAUAUGAAAAUGGCUUUCACCAGGAUGGUUCAAGUCCUGAUCAAAUGGAUGGUGUGCAGGGAAUAAGAAUCAAACAGGGGGUAAUUGCAGCCUUCAGUGCAUACCUUUUUAACAUGACACCCUAUAAGAAAAAUAUGCUCACUUCCUGCAAUGUGCUAUUGCAAAGAUAUGAGUCAAGAAUCAUUCAAAUAUGUCCUGUGUUCCAGAAGAGACUAUUAACACUGAACAUUUUAAAUUGUCAUAUUAAACUCACCCUCAUGAUGUUUCAAACCUGUAUGACUUUCUUUUCUUACGUGGGGUCAGAAAAGGAGAUAUUUGUAAUGAAUAUCUCAGCCCGCCCUUUCAAUGCAAUGGCAGUGGAUAGAGGCUCAAUUUAAAGCUUAGAGGACCCAAAAGAUGUCAUAAAAGUAGUGCAUGUGACUUGUGCGUCUAAUUUCAAGUUGUCAGAAGGCAUACAAUAAUUUAUUUUUUGUGAGAAACAACCUGAAAUGAGAGAAGCUCCUUCGAAGUGGUUUGUGUUCACGUGUUCAUUUUGUUCUUUUUUUUUUUUUUUAAGCUUUAAAGUGAGGUACUGUUAAUAGCCAUUGUGUUGAAAAUAUAGCCUGUGAUGUUCAUUAAAACCUCUCCUUUUAUGUGGUCCUAAAAUGUAUUUUUGGGUGAGUAUUAAAGGGUACUUAAGUUCAAAUGAAACGUGUAGUAAUAUUUUUAAAGCGAAAUGGCUAAAAAAAAAAAAAAAAAAAGUAUCCUACUGUAUUUGAUGACAAUUUGUGAUUCUGAGAUUUUUAGUGUUAAUUCUGUGACAUUGUGAACAAAAAUGUGAAAAAUUUGAAAUUAUUGAAUGUUUCAUGUUAUUAAAUAAAUGUGACUGAACAUC
Molecule: long non-coding RNA, 4050 nt
Organism: Myxocyprinus asiaticus (Chinese sucker)
Lineage: Eukaryota; Metazoa; Chordata; Actinopteri; Cypriniformes; Catostomidae
Exons: 4
Source: RefSeq, a predicted model, not a curated record